AAAUCAAUAAAUUGAGGCUCUACUGUAGCGGUAACCGGUCCGCCAAUUAGAAAGUGGCCAGGAGAAAGAGUCUCAAAAUUGUCAAAUUCAGAAGAAAGUGGAGGUGAGAAGGCGUGAAUUUAACAUAGCUUCUAUUUCAGCAAGUAAGGGCAUAAUUAUUUCUAAAAUUUUUUUGGAUGCCGAAGAUCAGAAUGAAUUUAUAUAGAUAUGAAAUUGGGCUUCAUUACAUUGAUUCUCAAAAGGCAUAAUUAUUUCUAAAAUUUUUUUGGAUGCCGAAGAUCAGAAUGAAUUUAUAUAGAUAUGAAAUUGGGCUUCAUUACAUUGAUUCUCAAAAGUAUAAAAUGUUAUGAAAGGGACUUGUUUGAAAUGCAAAGAAGGAGCUAAACUAAUCUUAAGACAUUUAUCAGGUAUAAAAAGUUAAGAAAGUGACUUGGUUUAAAUGCAAAGAAGGAGCUAAACUAAUCUUAAGACAUUAAUCAGGUAUAAAAAGUUAUGAAAUGGAGUUGUUUGAAAUGCAAAGAAGAUAAACUAAUCUUAAGACAUUAAUCAGCUGUGUAUAUUUUGGUAUAAAAAGUUAUGAAAGGGAUUUGGUUGAAAUGCAAAUAAGGAGCUAAACUAAUCUUAAGACAUUAAUGAGGUAUAAAAUGUUAUGACAGGGACUUGCUUGAAAUGCAAAGGAGCUAAACUAGUCUUAAGACGUUAAUCAGGUAUAAAAAGUUACGAUAGGGACUUGGUUCACAUGCAAAGAAGUUGCUAAACUAAUCUUAAGACAUUAAUCAGGUAUAAAAAGUUAUGAAAGGGGCUUGGUUGAAAUGCAACUAAACGAAAGACAUUAAUCAGUUUGGACAAUUUUAUUUUUAUUAAAACACCAGCUGAGAUUUGGUCUUAGUCAAUGAAUUUACAUCUUUCUCAACAUGUUUUAAUGACAGAAAAAUGAAACCUUCUUUGUGUAUAGAGGAAUGUAUAAAAAGUUUUGAAAGUGACUUGGUUUAAAUGCAAAGAAGGAGAUAUACAAAUUUUAAGAUAUUAAUCAGGGCAUAAUUAUUUCUAAAAUUUUUUUGAUGCCGAAGAUCAGAAUGAAUUUAUAUAGAUAUGAAAUUGAGAUUCAUGAUGUGAUACUCAAAAGGCAUAAUUAUUUCUAAAAUUUUUUUGAUGCCGAAGAUCAGAAUGAAUUUAUAUAGGUAUGAAAUUGGGAUUCAUGACAUUGAUACUCAAAAGGCAUAAUUAUUUCUAAAAUUUUUUUCAUGCCGAAGAUCAGAAUGAAUUUAUAUAGGUAUGAAAUUGGGAUUCAUGACAUUGAUACUCAAAAGGCAUAAUUAUUUCUAAAAUUUUUUUGAUGCCGAAGAUCAGAAUGAAUUUAUAUAGGUAUGAAAUUGGGAUUCAUGACAUUGAUACUCAAAAGGCAUAAUUAUUUCUAAAAUUUUUUUCAUGCCGAAGAUCAGAAUGAAUUUAUAUAGGUAUGAAAUUGGGAUUCAUGACAUUGAUACUCAAAAGGCAUAAUUAAUUCUAAAAUUUUUUUGAUGCCGAAGAUCAGAAUGAAUUUAUAUAGAUAUGAAAUUGGGAUUCAUGACAUUGAUACUCAAAAGGCAUAUUUGUUUCUAAAAUUUUUUUGAUGCCCAAGAUCAGAAUGAAUUUAUAUAGAUAUGAAAUUGGUCUUCAUGACACUGAUACUCAAAACAAUAAAGAACGGAAAAUAUUCACAAGCAAUAAAUUCAGAGUUGAAGGGGUAAAUAUUAAAAAAAAGCCCUUUGUUUUCCAACCCAUUGUCCAGUCAUUUUCUUUCAUGUAUUUGA
Argiope bruennichi is the source of this 1793-nucleotide long non-coding RNA. RefSeq lists it as uncharacterized. The transcript is spliced from 20 exons. NCBI's taxonomy places the organism in Eukaryota, Metazoa, Arthropoda, Arachnida, Araneae, Araneidae. The record is from RefSeq and is a predicted model, not a curated record.